This is a long non-coding RNA of Cavia porcellus (domestic guinea pig), 1283 nucleotides long. RefSeq lists it as uncharacterized. The record is from RefSeq and is a predicted model, not a curated record. Lineage: Eukaryota; Metazoa; Chordata; Mammalia; Rodentia; Caviidae. The transcript has 3 exons.
ACCCGCCCACUGACCAAAACCCUGCCAAGAGCCUGUAAAACUCCCUGUGCAGUCAGCCGUGGGAAUGGGUUUAUUAAUCUGAAAAGGCCAUCACUUUGCAUCUGAAAAGGCAUCAGCAUUUGCAUCUGAACCACAUGGGGUGUGAUUCACUGUAGGCUGCUCAAAUGUCUAACUGCAGCAUUUUCAAGAAGAGGCCUGUAAACACCCAUCUCAAACUUCACAUAAACCCGGCUUUCUCUCUGCACCGGCUGCCAGUGCAGAUGCAUCUGAACCAGGGUGAUGGCCUUUUCAGAUUAAUAAACCCAUUCCCACGGCUGACGCACAGGGAGUUUUACAGGCUCUUGGCAGGGUUUUGGUCAGUGGUCAGUGGGCGGGUUGGGAGGAGUUCCUGUCCCAUGCUUUUCUUUGCUUUUGCUGAGCUCCAGGCCCUGCGCUGUGACCCAGUGGUGCAGGAAGGCAUGUGGCUCCCACAGGGGCUGCCGCCCCCACUCAGAGGAGCCUGUGGGUCUCCUCGGACUGCCCUGUGAAUCCUCUACCCAGAUGCUACAGACAGGAACGCUUUCCAUGCGGGAAACCAUCUGCUCCACCAACCUCAUGCCCUGGACAGCAGCAGAGGUGGCAGGUGGCGCAGGAAACUCCCAUCUCAUUCAGCCUCCUCAAAAGCACUGGGAACACUGCACUUUCUGGGGUUUCUCAGAGGCGGUUGUGAGACUCCAGGGGAGCCUGGCCCAGGGGCUCUGGUGAGGUCAGAGUGGCUAUGGGUCAGAGCCACAGGGGAAAGGGCCUCUGUCCCCGAGACUCACCUGGCUGUGACACUCCCACUCCUGUUCUGUGUGGGCCCAGAUGCCCCGAGACCUCAGCUCCUGGGUAGAUUCUUCUCCUCCGGCCACAGCCGGCCUAAGCCAGCCCUGUGAGUGGCAGAGCCUCUGCUGAGGCCAGGGCCCAAUGCCCCUGCAGGAAUCCCCCGUCAGGGCAGAACAAGCGAGACCAUGCGUUUUCUUGGGCAGAGCAGACACCAUGGGCUCAGUUUACUUUUGCUAGUAUAAAAGAUCACCACAGACUCAGUGGACAAACAGACACAUACACACUCGUCCCUGUGCAAUGGACUGGAGUCUGCUCUCCCUCAGGCCCUCCCGUCCUCUCCAACUCAAAUCUGCCUGUGUCUCCUCAUGUCUCCUGGCUCAGUCAUGCUGAGAGCAGCCUCAGUACCAGCCAGUGGAUAUGAAUAUCUCCCCAUCUGCAUAUAGAAUAAAACAGUCCCGGACUCCAGGGCUGGGCAUGUG